This is a long non-coding RNA of Apis florea (little honeybee), 842 nucleotides long. The record is from RefSeq and is a predicted model, not a curated record. Lineage: Eukaryota; Metazoa; Arthropoda; Insecta; Hymenoptera; Apidae.
GAUUUAUGAUUAUUUCAUUAAAAUAAAAAGGUAAAACGCCAGUGUUGCAUACAUAAGUAUAAUAUAUGUAAGUAUAAAUUUUUUCCAAACUAACAGCGAGCGGCCAAGUAGCUAGGCUGGUCUGCAUUGGUCGCGACAGUCUGUAUUCUCAGUACACUUUAAUCAUUAACUGGAUAAACAUCGUUGCAAACUUUUCUUGGUACUGAUUUUAUAUAAAUUAUGAUUAACAGUCAAAAAUUCGAUGUCGAUUAUUGUAAACUUCAGAUUCUCAUUCGAUGAUAUUCGAGAUGUUUCGAUUUAUCGCCGGUUUAUGACGCGGUACAAGUAUCAAUUAAAAAGAUGAAAUAUUUUAAUAAUACAAAAUGACAUUUGACUGUGAAUUUUGUGAUGUGUAAUGAAUAAUAAAAAGAAAAUCUACGAAGAUUUAUAAUAGGGAAAUGAUACUGACAACGUAAACAAAUAUUUCAGUUAAAAGUUAACCUACUAAAAUUCAAUAUCAUCUCGUUGAGGUUACAAAGUCAAUUUUCAUUAUGUAUUACAACGGAACAUGUGCGGAAGAAACAUCUAAAAGGAGAUUCAGUUUAUCGUUGCACAGCGAGAGAAUGUAGCACAUUGUACGCGGUGCAAAGUAAUAGGAAUGUCAGCUCUAUAUUACAACGUGUCCAACGAAGCAUUGUGUUUGAAGGAAUGCGCUCUACCUAAGCCACGCUUUCUAAGUAUUUUCAAACUUCUUUUUCCACAUAUAUUUCCUUCAUCAUAUAAUCAGUUGCGAAGUAUCAAUAAACAAUUCUAGUUCAUUUGUAAAAAAUUCAUACCAUGCAAUGAAAUAUCGGCAAUUGAUU